AUCGCCUACAAUACAUGUGGUAGGGAUGACUGGUCAUAGUCUUUUCGACCCCUACUCCAAUCAUCAUAUUUGGAAAAGUUAACAAAUGACCUUCAUGCAAUCCUAUCGAACUAUGCUACUGUUGGGAGUAGCUAGCCAUCGCCAGAUAAGGUAGGCAUGACCGCUCAAUCCUAGAAAAUCUGGUUGAAGAUCUCAAAAUAGCAUAUCUAAUAGAGUCCAAACUACCUCCG
RNAcentral lists this long non-coding RNA (230 nucleotides) under Elaeis guineensis (African oil palm). Its description in RNAcentral is "long non-coding RNA (EGUI_LNC082434)". The record is from RNAcentral. Lineage: Eukaryota; Viridiplantae; Streptophyta; Magnoliopsida; Arecales; Arecaceae.